Molecule: unclassified non-coding RNA, 1190 nt
Filed under: uncultured Bordetella sp.
Lineage: Bacteria; Pseudomonadati; Pseudomonadota; Betaproteobacteria; Burkholderiales; Alcaligenaceae
Description: partial 16S-23S ribosomal RNA intergenic spacer
Rfam family: Bacterial small subunit ribosomal RNA
Source: RNAcentral
AGUUUGAUCCUGGCUCAGAUUGAACGCUGGCGGGAUGCUUUACACAUGCAAGUCGAACGGCAGCACGGACUUCAGUCUGGUGCGGCGAGUGGCGAAGACGGGUGAGUAAUGUAUCGGAACGUGCCUAGUAGCGGGGGAUAACUACGCGAAAACGUAGCUAAUACCUCAUACGCCCUUCGAAGCAGGGGGACCUUCGGGCCUCGCACUAUUAGAGCAGCCGAUAUCGGAUUAGCUAGUUGAGGUGGGGUAACGGCUCACCGAGGCGACGAUCCGUAGCUGGUUUGAGAGGACGACCAGCCACACUGGGACUGGAGACGGCCCAGACUCCUACCGGAGGCAGCAGUGGGAAUUUUGGACCAGUAGGGGCUCUGAUCAACCAUCGCGUGUGCGAUGAAGGCCUUCGGGUUGUAAAGCACUUUUGGCAGGAAGAAACGGCACGGGAUAAUACCCCGUGCAAUGACGGUACCUGCAGAAUAAGCACCGGCUAACUACGUGCAGCAGCAACGGUAAUACCCGUAGAGAUUACCAAGCGUUAAUCGGAAUUACUGGGCGUAAAGCGUGCGCAGGCGGUUCGGAAGAAAGAUGCUGAAAUCCCAGAACUUAACUUUGGAACUGUUUUAACUACCGAGCUAGAAAUUAAUGUCAGAGGGAGGUGGAGAUUCCGCUGAUCAGCAGUGAAAUGCGUAGAUAUGCGGAGGAACACCGAUGGCGAAGGCAGCCUCCUGGGAUAACACUGACGCUGCUGCGCUCAUGCGUGUGAGGCAAACAGGAUUAGAUACCCUGUUAGUCCACGCCUAAACGAUGUCAACUAGCUGUUUGGGGCCUUCGGGCCUUGGUAGCGCAGCUAACGCGUGAAGUUGACCGCCUAGGAAGCUGAUCGCAAGAUUAAAACUCAAAGAAUUGACGAGGACCCACUACAAGCGGUGGAUGAUGUGGAUUAAUUCGAUGCAACGCGAAAAGCCUUACCUACCCUUGACAUGUCUGGAAUCCCGAAGAGAUUUGGGAGUGCUCGCAAGAGAACCGGAACACAGGUGCUGCAUGGCUGUCGUCAGCUCGUGUCGUGAGAUGUUGGGUUAAGUCCCUGGCUGAGCGCAACCUGUCAUUAGUUGCUACGAAAGGGCACUCUAAUGAGACUGCCGGUGACAAACCGGAGGAAGGUGGGGAUGACGUCAAGUCCUCAUGGCCCUUUU